This 491-nucleotide ribosomal RNA is filed under the name uncultured bacterium. RNAcentral describes it as "partial 16S ribosomal RNA". It matches the Rfam family "Bacterial small subunit ribosomal RNA", at positions 29 to 506 of the family's 1533-position model. The record is from RNAcentral.
AGUGAACGCUGGCGGUAGGCCUAACACAUGCAAGUCGAACGGCAGCACAGUAAGAGCUUGCUCUUACGGGUGGCGAGUGGCGGACGGGUGAGGAAUACAUCGGAAUCUACUUUUUCGUGGGGGAUAACGUAGGGAAACUUACGCUAAUACCGCAUACGACCUACGGGUGAAAGCAGGGGAUCUUCGGACCUUGCGCGAUUGAAUGAGCCGAUGUCGGAUUAGCUAGUUGGCGGGGUAAAGGCCCACCAAGGCGACGAUCCGUAGCUGGUCUGAGAGGAUGAUCAGCCACACUGGAACGGAGACACGGUCCAGACUCCUACGGGAGGCAGCAGUGGGGAAUAUUGGACAAUGGGCGCAAGCCUGAUCCAGCCAUACCGCGUGGGUGAAGAAGGCCUUCGGGUUGUAAAGCCCUUUUGUUGGGAAAGAAAAGCAGCAGGUUAAGACCCCGCUGUUCUGACGGUACCCAAAGAAUAAGCACCGGCUAACUGCGU